UCUGAGACGGGCAGAGGGCGAGGGACAUCCCUGUGCCACCCCCUGCUGCCCUCUGCGGCCGCCGCGGCGCCGGGAAUGCUCCUCAGGAGCGCCGGGACGUGCAGCUCCUGCUCCCGGGAGCUGUUUGUCUGCGGCUUCGGGAAGCGUGAAACCCGAGCUGGCAGCUUGACGUGGAGCAGCAGACGCCUCUCCUGCCUCCCUUCCCACGGGAUGUGCUGGAGCAGCCAGCCGGUGCCGGAUUUUCCAGGCUGUUGUUUUCCUCAGCCUCCCCAGGCCUUGCUGUAAUCCCUCGUUCUCUCCAGGAUUCUCCGUGGGGCUCCUCUCUUGUUCCUGCUCCCACCAUCUGCUCCGUGCCCUUGCCAGGGCAGCUUCCCGCUGGAAAGCCGAAGGAUCUUGGCUCUGGAUCCUUCCCUGGCACACUCAGGACCAGGCACAGACAUUUCCCUGUUCCAGCGUUUUCCUCCAGUGUUUGUUUUGCAAAAUGUUGGGAGAU
Molecule: long non-coding RNA, 493 nt
Organism: Hirundo rustica (Barn swallow)
Lineage: Eukaryota; Metazoa; Chordata; Aves; Passeriformes; Hirundinidae
Exons: 3
Source: RefSeq, a predicted model, not a curated record